CCUACGUGUGGCAGCAGUGAGGAAUAUUGGUCAAUGGGCGCGAGUCUGAACCAGCCAAGUCGCGUGAAGGAUGACGGCCCUACGGGUUGUAAACUUCUUUUGUCAGGGAGCAAUUUGGUCCACGCGUGCUCUUAUCUAUAUUACCUGUACAAAAAGCAUCGGCAAACUCCGUGCCAUCACCCCGGGUAUUCCGGAGAAUGCAGUCUUUCUCCGGAUUAAUUGGUUUUAAAGGGUGCUUAGGCGCAAUAUCAAGUCCACGGGAAAACUUGGGGGCUAAACCCCGUCGUGCCGUUGAAACUGAGGUGCGUGAGUGGGCGAGAGGGAUGCGGAAUGCGUGGUGUAGCGGUGAAAUGCAUAGAUAUCACGCAGAACUCCGAUUGCGAAGGCAGCAUACCGGGGCACAACUGACGCUGAAGCACGAAAGCGUGGGUAUCGAACAGGAUUAGAUACCCCUGUAGUC
This 460-nucleotide ribosomal RNA is filed under the name uncultured bacterium. RNAcentral's name for it is "partial 16S ribosomal RNA". It matches the Rfam family "Bacterial small subunit ribosomal RNA", at positions 338 to 795 of the family's 1533-position model. The record is from RNAcentral.